AAAAGGAAUGCUCAUCAGCUAUUUCAAAAUAUUUUUUAUACAAAGCUACCGAGGAAUCAUCACAAUUGCAGCACCGCUCUAAAACAGAAAUAACCACAAUCACAUUACCCUACCAUCAAAAGUUAACUUGCAUCAUGUCUUAUUGAUAAUUUAUUGGCUCUCUAGAGCUAGCUAAUAGAUCCAUGAUUAAAAGAUUUACAAUAAGAGAACAUGUAUGACACAAAAAAGAACAAAAAUUUUCCUCAAACACACAUCCAUGAGUUGUUCCUCAAUACCGGCAGAAAUUAAGAUAAACCUGCAAAUGUAAUGUUACCGCCUCACUUUAAAGGUUGCUAAUCAGAGUGAACUGUUCUAAAACUCAUCUAAAAGCAACAGGACAAGUAACUAAAAACACAAAGAAAAUAACCAAACUAAUUGUGCCCCCACUAACAAAUUAUCCAUCUUCCAAACAACACAAGAAAGCUAAAAGACAAUUUCAAAUCAGUUACAUGGAUUAAAACAUACAUUCAGAUAUUACAAUGUCGAUUCGCUAAAAAUAUGAUUGCUAGAAUCAUGAAAGCCAAAGGAUAUAAUAAGGAAUUUGAAUUUUAAUCAGUUAAAAUCAAUAAUCAAGACUAUCUAAUACCCAAUUCGAAUUAAAGAAUAAUGCUUAAAUCCUAUCUCUACUGAUUUUAAUUAUUAAAACCCCUCAAUUUUUGCCAUGCAAUGAAGCAAAAAUCUUUAAUUUAUUGGGGAAAAAAACUGAAAUUGAAUAAGAUUCAUCAAUAAAGUUAAUUUUCACAAGCAAAUUAUUAAAAAGUGUUGUAAGAGUCGGUUCUUCUCAAAAGCUCUUGAGGCGUACGAUAAGCGUGCGAGCUAUCCUACACCAUCACCAUUGAAAUGGCGAAGCGAGGAAGGCCACGGAAGAACCGCCCAAAUAAAGUGCACAUAAGGCUUCUCCGGUUGUUUCUGUGCCGGGAUCUGGUGCUGGUGACAAGAGUACGCCGCCAAGUGCCAUGGUUCCGCAGCGACCUUUACCGACUUCCAAUGGAGCAGCCCCAGGAGAUUUAGUUUCGCCGACAACAUCAAACCCUAUUAAGAAGGAACACGGGAGUGUUGGCGACUCCCAUGGUGGAGUGUCAAGGAGACACCGAUACCGGAGGAACCCCCUGUUCAAUCAGUGGUAUCGGCGACACCGAUACCGGAGGAACCCCCUGUUCAAUAAGUGUUUGAGAACAAUCGGAUGGCAAACAAAGCUAUUUUACUUGGUGCAACAAUCAGGAUGACAGAAUUGACUGGUGUGUGGCUAAUUCUGGUUGGUUCAGCCAGUUUGCUCAUGUGGUUGCAGAAGUCUUGGAGAGAAAUAUCUCGGAUCAUUGCCCUGAUUGAUUACACUCAGCAAAAUGUCAAGAGAACUUCUCCAUUCAGGUUCUUAAAUGUUCUCACUCAGCAUGAUGAUUUUAUUACAAUUGUACACAAUGUUUGGCAGAGGCAUAAACUUAAAGCCUUGAAGCAUCCUCUUAAAGCUUUAAAUUCUCAACACUUCAAGGGGGCUACGCAGAAAAUUAGUUUGCUUUGAGAUAGCCUUCAUGAAGUUCAGAGGCAAAUGAACCAAGAUCAGUUCCCCAACCAGCUUUUAGAAGAGGAGAGGAGCAUUUUGGGUCAGUUGGAAAACUGGUGCAAGAUUGAGGAGACAAUUUGGCAACAAAAAUCCAGAGCUGACUGGAUUUCUCUAGGUGGUGCAAACACCAAAUUCUUUCAUGCCUAUGUCAAGGAGAGGCAAAGCCAAAAUGCUAUCAAACUGCUGCUCAGGGGUGAUGGAACCAGAUGCAACACUCAAAAUAUGAUCAAGGACGAAGUUGUGCACUUCUAUAAGCUUCUGAUGGGGUCUGCUGCUAGUUCUUUGCCUAUGUUGGAUAAGAUAUACUUCGUAAAUGCUCUGUGCUCACUCAUCAACACCAACUAGACCUUUGUGUUCCUUUCACACCUCUGGAGAUCAAAAAGGCUCAGUUUGAAAUGGACUCUCAAAAAGCUCCCGGUAUUAAUGGUUUUAACGUUCAUUUUUCAAGUAGGCUUGGUGUGUGGUUGGUGCUAGUGUUGUUGAUGCAAUUCAAAAUUUCUUUGAUACAGAGUUUUUACUUUUUACCUAAACAGUUAAACUGUACUUAUGUGACCUUAAUUCCUAAGGUUGAUAAUGCAGUCACUGUCAGGGAGUAUAGACCCAUUGCUUGUUGCUCUGUUGUGUACAAGAUUAUUUCAAAGGUCUUAACAAACAGAAUGCAACACAUCCUGCCUUUUCAGAUUGGGGAAGGGCCAUCUGCUUUUGUUAAAAGUAGGGUCAUUUUUUAUAAUAUUUUGAUUAGCCAUGAGCUUGUUAAAGGGUAUGGGAGGAAAAACAUCUUCCCUAGAUGUAUGCUUAAGAUUGAUCUCCAGAAAGCUUAUGAUUCCGUAGAGUGGCUGUUCAUUAAGCAUCUGAUGCUGGAAUUGGGGUUUCCAUACAAGUUUGUCAAGUGGGUUACGGCAUGUCAAACUACGGUUCCUUUUCUUUUAAUGUAAACGGGAAAUGACUGUUCCUUUUGAAGAAAAAAAGGGUUGAGACAAGGUGACCCCAUCUCACCUUAUCUAUUUGUGCCCUAUAUGGAGUACUUAAAUAGAUGCCUUUGUGACCUAAGAAACAACUCUAGUUUCCACUUUCAUCCUCGAUGUAAAAGGCUCAAUUUGACCCAUGUUUGUUUUGCGGAUGACUUGCUACUUUUUGCAAGAGGGGAUAUUUCUUCUGUUAGGUGCUUGUUUGAAGCCUUUUCAAAAUUCUCUGUUGCUUUACAAGCUAAUGUUGCAAAGAAUGCCAUUUAUUUUGGUGGUGUGCCUGAAACAUUCAAGAGUCGAUUCUUUCUGAGUUUAAUGUAAUCAAGGGUGACCUCCCGUUCAAAUAUCUUGGGGUCCCUCUAUCUACAAGGAAGUUAACUGUUAUGCAGUGCCAGCCUUUGAUUAAGAAAAUUCUUGCACGCAUAGACAGUUGGACUUCAAAAUUGCUUUCAUUAUGCAGGUCGUUUGCAGCUUAUCAAAUUACUUGGUGUUCAGACCUAGUGGUGCCAGGUAUUUCUCUUACCAAAGAAAGUUAUUAAGCUUCUGCAAGCAGCUUGUAGGACUUUCGUUUGGGCUGGCAGUUCCAAUGUUUCAAAGAGGGCUUUAGUAACUUGGGAUAAGAUUUGCUUACCUAAGGCUGUUGGUGGAUUGAAUGUGAUUGAUAUUGGAAUAUGGAAUAAAGCUGCAAUCUACAAACUUUUCUGGAACAUAGCUCAAAAGAAGGAUAAGCUAUGGGUGCGUUGGAUUCAUCAGUAUUAUGUGAAGGGGAACAAUAUUAUCACUAUGUUGGUGCCACAUCAAGCCUCAUGGGUGAUAAAAAAGAUCUUCAAUGCCAGAACUUAUGCUCCUGGUAACUCGAAUAUUGUUCAGCAACACAAACUAUCUAUUAGUCAAAUGUAUAGGGAAUUACGAGGUAAUUUUCAGAAUGUAUAGGCAGUUGUUGAAGCAGCACAACAGCAACUCUGUCUCACAUAAUGUCUACAGAAUGGCUAUCUCUGUGACUGUUUGCUGUUUGUGGAAAGAGAGGAAUGCAAGACGGUUAUCUCAGCUGAUGCAGACUCCGAAUAUGAUUGUUAGGCAUGCUUCAAUGUUAAUCUAUACUAGAUGUUAUAGUAUUAAGAAGUUUGCUAGCAUAGUCUAGGUAUUUUGGGUGCCUUGCUGCUGUUGCAGUUGGCUUGUGUUUUUUUGGGUAGUUCUUGUCUAUUGGCUGCUUGGAACAUGUGUUUGUAUGAAGUUUGUUCUUUCUUGAUUUUUGGAAAUAAAUCUCUACUAUUCACCAAAAAAAAAAA
Molecule: long non-coding RNA, 3854 nt
Organism: Spinacia oleracea (spinach)
Lineage: Eukaryota; Viridiplantae; Streptophyta; Magnoliopsida; Caryophyllales; Amaranthaceae
Exons: 2
Source: RefSeq, a predicted model, not a curated record